Molecule: non-coding RNA, 478 nt
Organism: Heterocephalus glaber (naked mole-rat)
Lineage: Eukaryota; Metazoa; Chordata; Mammalia; Rodentia; Bathyergidae
Source: RefSeq, a predicted model, not a curated record
AUCAACUUUGGGACUAUAGAGGAGGUGAAAUAGAUGCCAGCCAAGGACAGGUUGGAGAGGAAGAAGUACAUGGGGGUGUGGAGGUGGGAGGCAGAGAUGACAGCCAGGAUGUUGAGCAGGUUCCUGAGCACUGUGACCAGGUAGAUGGACAGGAUCAGUCCAAAGAGGACUGGGUGCAGGUCUGGAUCAUCUGAGAAGGUCAUGAGAUAGAACUCUGAGACACAUUUCAGAACACUGGAAUCAAAGAAACUCCCAAGGCCCUGGCUGAGCCCCAGUCUUCCUAAUUCUAACCAACAGAUUUUCACAUCAAUUUCUACUGAAAUUUGAGACAGUGCCCUGGUUUGAAAUGCAGCAAAUCAACACUGAAGUCUCUAUGACUGACUGGCUACCAUGUACAGGGUGUGUGUACAUCCCGCCCCUCUUGGUGCUCUUGCUGCUUAAGAGACAGUGGGAAAAUUUCAUCUAUCUCCAAAGCCUG